GCACUGCUGAGGAGUCAUAAAAUAGGACGAAACGGCCGUCCAGUAC
Molecule: non-coding RNA, 46 nt
Organism: Schistosoma mattheei
Lineage: Eukaryota; Metazoa; Platyhelminthes; Trematoda; Strigeidida; Schistosomatidae
Source: Rfam